This is a long non-coding RNA of Magnolia sinica, 2642 nucleotides long. RefSeq lists it as uncharacterized. Lineage: Eukaryota; Viridiplantae; Streptophyta; Magnoliopsida; Magnoliales; Magnoliaceae. The record is from RefSeq and is a predicted model, not a curated record. The transcript has 2 exons.
CCCAUUCUUUCUUUUAGUCCUUUGAGGCGCCUCCCAUUGUCAAAGGGGACUCGAAGAUGGCUUUGAUGUGGGUGGUGGUAGGCCCUCUGCUUGAAAGAGAGCAACCUUAGUUCAAGUCUGCAAUGAUCUUGCUUCUAGUCUCUGAUGGGCUUGUAAUAAGGAGGCUAAAUCCUUGGGGGAUCUUCUUGCUAAAGAGGUUGUGGCAAUCUGUUUAUAUUGGUUCAGAAGUCCCCACUUUAAUAAGUUUGUUGGUUACUAAUUGUGGAAUAUACUGGUGAGAUCUACCGCCUAAAUUUUGACAAAAAUAAAGGAGUGCUACUAUACUAGCCAAAACCUCGGAAUCUACGGAAGGCUAGAAAACGUUGAAUCAAAUAACCUGGGGGUUAACACUGCUGAGUUCGAUAAAGUAACUCCAAUUUAGGUCUAGUGUUCCAAAGAUCUGAGCAAGGGUCACGAUUAUGGAGAAGGAAGGUGUUAGGUACCUUCUCCGCCCAUGUAUAUGUGUGUCCUCUACUUAGUGGGAUUCAAUAUUUCUAGGACUAGAGCUCUAGGAAAAAAAUCCUCCACUUAAAUAAUAAAAAUAAGGAAAAUACUGUCAGCAAGCAAUGGGUGGUGUAGAGAGGAUGGAAAUGUAGCACGUAAAUGAAUGAAAACUCUCUCUAGGAGUGCUCCGUAAAUCUUAUGGAGGGCCUUGGUUCUUAGAGAUGCGAGUAGGAAAGUAUAACUCUCUAAGUUUUCUGCUAGUUUGGUAGUCAUUCUCAAGACCCAUGAGGUUGAGGCGCACACCCAUUGCUGAUUGCCCUAAAGAAGAUUGGAGGGGUUUUAGAUCCUUGAUUCCUUUCUCUUUUCUUAUUGCCCUCCUCAUAAGUUACUCUCUAGGGGAAUUGGGGUUCUCUAAGUCCUUUCCUAGAAGCAAGGGGAGAGAGGGAGGGAAUAAAAAGUGAGAAUCCAAAGGCCCCUUGCAAUGAGGCAAAGAGGCUUAUUUAUAGUGUUGGGGUGGCCUUUUGGUAAUUCGUAGAAGGUUUGAAGGGUAAAGACAAACAGUGGACACGUGGCACAACACCAUAGGAUCUCGGAAUUUUUUCUUACCCUUUGGUAAUUUUAGGAAGUUUGGAGGGUAGGAAUCUAUGGGGAGACAUGGAAUUUUCUGAUGAAAUUAGUAAUAGUAAUAAAAAGGCUAUGGCUGAUAGGGGACAAAAGUAAAAAAAAAAAGGGCGGAAUACUGGAAAUGGCAAAAUUGCACCACCAUCUAGUGGAAGUCUCUGCCAAAUGUUGACAGCUGUCUGCUGACACAUGGCAGUGGAAAUCAGAUUUUUGCCACCACUCAUUCGUGGAAAAAUGAGAUCAAGUCGGUCCCCACACCUUUUAUUGUGUUGCAAUCGAUUUUUUGAAGCUGUUCAGCCUCAAAUUGAGCUAGUGUUGGGUCUGGUUCUCCAGGAUCCUUGUGAAUUAGGAGUUAGGGAGUGGGCCCUCCUGAUCUGAUCCAAUUGGAUGACUUUGGUGAACCCUAGACUUAGGCUGGGUGUCUACACCUGUGAAAAAUGGUUAGUCAUUUGUAAUAGUUUGUUUCCCAUAUGGGGGAUUAAAGUGGAGCUAGAUCACAUAUGUACAUAUAGCUUACUAGUUUAUUAAUGUUAAUAGAUGAGCUUAUGGUUUUAAUAAGCCUUGAACUCAGCAAGACACUGGGAAACCCACCUAUGAUGUUGGGAUGUAUGAUGGGUGUUGUUGAAGAGUCUUCCAUGGAAAUAGUGCUGGAUAACUUUGCUUUGGUUUACUGUGCAUCAUCAGGCUAAAUUGCUCUGGCAUGAUUGCAGACUGGUUUAGACUGUAACUGCCUUCCAUUGGCAGUAACGCAGCAGAGGAACAUACUGUUUAUUUAUUUAAUGAUCAAUAAUGCACAGUUGGUUAUGAUUUAUUUACACAGCUGUGCAACUGGGAAGGCUGUGAUCAAUAAGUUGCUGUGCAUGGUGGGUGAUAAUCAGUUCCAUUUGUACUAUGCCUCACAGACUGAUUUCGAGUUUGUGAGGAAAGAUGAUGGGAUGUCUACUGGUUGCAGUGGACUGAUUGCCUACAGUCUGGUUGUAUGCAACUGUCCCCUUCUUACCCCUUCGGAAUUUUGGUUUCACAGACACACAUGCACACCAUGCAUAUGCCUGUACAUGCAUACAUGUGCGUGCAUGUGUAUUUAAGGAGGUCUCACACAACGAAUUGCAAGAGCAGAAUGUUUGUAACAAAGUUGCAGAUUAGCUUCCUUACAGCAGGUUGAGGGGAUCACUUCUCAUUGGUUUCACUUCAAUAAAAUGAUGCAUACAUGGAGUAAAUGCUUAUUUUCUGUAAGGUCCCUUCAGAUAUAUUAUAGUGACCUUAAAAGGAUAAGGAGAUUGCAUUACUGUUGUUGCUGUCGUGGAAACAUCUAGCCGCGAGAAGUGAUAGGAAGUGGCAGCUGGUUUGGGUGCAGGGAACAAGCAAAAAAUGUGAAAUACUGUGGAACUUUUUUCACAUGUGACCUUAAAGAAAAAAUGUGAGCAAGAUAUGGUAGCAACAGAGGAUGAGCAAUAGUGCACCGCCCACCUUUUAAGCCCCUUUGUUUUGUAAAGAUCUCUAGCUUGAUCACUGUUUAGUUCAAAUGAAAACUGUCUAUU